This is a long non-coding RNA of Dunckerocampus dactyliophorus (ringed pipefish), 1142 nucleotides long. RefSeq lists it as uncharacterized. The transcript is spliced from 3 exons. NCBI's taxonomy places the organism in Eukaryota, Metazoa, Chordata, Actinopteri, Syngnathiformes, Syngnathidae. The record is from RefSeq and is a predicted model, not a curated record.
GUGGAGACGAUAUACCGAUUAUAAUAAUGGCCGCACAUAAAGGAAAUGUGUGGAAUUGGGAGCAACCAGCAGUAAGAUGAGGUCAAAUUGAAAAGACUUAUUCAACAUAAACGUUAUACCAUUUAGAGACAGAGUUUCCUGGGACAACCGUAGCAACAGAGAGACAACAACAAAGGGAGCUGGGAACCAGGUAGUCUCCAAGAAAUAAUGAUGUUGAAGGACAUGGGAGACAGCUUCAACAAAGUAAGAGAUAAACAGAGCGAUGACACGAAGUACAGUACUGAUGUUAGGGAAAAUUGUUAAAUCUUCAGAAAAGUCUUUGUUCUUUUUAGCCCCACUCAUCACACUCAGCUAUUUUUUUUUAAGAUUUGUGGCCUGUAUAUUGGACUCUAAAUGUUUGUAACACUCUGACGUCUGUACAUCUCUGUGGUAACUGAACUGUGGCCUAUUGACUACUUGCCCCCCAAGUCAAACCCAGAAGUGAUGUGGACUGCCUCUACACGAUUCCAACCCAGCAAUUCUAAGUGUCCACAUAUAAAGAUAUGGUUUGGAUGAAUUAUUUGUAAUAGACAAGGUGAAGGAUUAGGAUUAGGUUCCGCUUCUUCCUACUCCUUUUCGGACAUUGUUCCACUUUUGCAAAUGUAACCACGUGAUGUUCCUUAAUGCAACUUGAUCAGCAUGUCUAAAAACAAAUAAACCUUACCGUCCGUCUGUCUCUGUAGCUACCAUUUGUAAGCUAUAUACAACAGAAUGCUGCAAAAUCAAUGAAGUUGUCUGCAACAAGAUCCACAAAGGAAUAUAAUUUUUUUCUGGCUCGCCAAAGUAUAGGUCUGUUAUGUGUAACCUAUUGGAGAUCAUAAAAUCUUUGGUGAACACUGGUCAGCAUAGAAGCCUUGGCAUGCUGCCUGCUUCAGUGAUCAAUACACUGAGUGAAGAUGUAGGUAGAGGAGAGAGAGCACAAUAUUGCUACUGCAAUAUCAGGGAAGGAGGGACAGCAUUGAUUUACCUCCAUCAAUAUACUGUGCAAUACACUAUACCUCUAAAUAAUGCAAAACCAGACAAUUGCUAUUGAACAUGUCCCAUAAAACACUGGACGACUGUGAUUAACCAAUAUUGAAAUAGUGAUUUCUUAAUAUUUCCAA